CCUACGGGAGGCAGCAGUAAGGAAUAUUGGUCAAUGGACGAAAGUCUGAACCAGCCAUGCCGCGUGAAGGAUUAAGGCCCUCUGGGUUGUAAACUUCUUUUAUCUGGGACGAAAAAAGGGUAUUCUUACUCACUUGACGGUACCAGAGGAAUAAGCACCGGCUAACUCCGUGCCAGCAGCCGCGGUAAUACGGAGGGUGCAAGCGUUAUCCGGAUUUACUGGGUUUAAAGGGUGCGUAGGUGGGUUUGUAAGUCAGUGGUGAAAUCUCCGAGCUUAACUCGGAAACUGCCAUUGAUACUAUAGAUCUUGAAUUAUCUGGAGGUAAGCGGAAUAUGUCAUGUAGCGGUGAAAUGCUUAGAUAUGACAUAGAACACCAAUUGCGAAGGCAGCUUACUACGGAUAUAUUGACACUGAGGCACGAAAGCGUGGGGAUCAAACAGGAUUAGAUACCCUGGUAGUCCACGCCCUAAACGAUGGAUACUCGACAUCAGCGAUACACUGUUGGUGUCUGAGCGAAAGCAUUAAGUAUCCCACCUGGGAAGUACGAUCGCAAGAUUGAAACUCAAAGGAAUUGAACGGCUGAGAGAGCGAGACGACGACGAGGGAGGAGG
This 611-nucleotide ribosomal RNA is filed under the name uncultured bacterium. RNAcentral's name for it is "bacterial SSU rRNA". It matches the Rfam family "Bacterial small subunit ribosomal RNA", at positions 338 to 951 of the family's 1533-position model. The record is from RNAcentral.